GGAAGAUUUGAAGAGAAAGAGGGAGGGGCAAGGGGCGUAGGGAGAGGAUAAGUGAAUGCAAAGAUCUUUCAACUCUGCUUUGUUGAAGAUCGUUUAUUGUACAGAAUCAGCUAAGAAGGCUGAGUAUAGCACUGAAUCUGCAAAUUCAGGUGACUUGCUCUACGUUUCCGGCGAACAAUGCUUCGUUUCCGGUGAGUGGAGAUAAGAAUAAUAACCUUCUACCUACAACGGAUUUGUUAAUUCAAAAAUUGAAACAGAGAUGGAGAGAAAUAGAGAAGCUAGAAGAGUAAGUAUGGCCGCUGCCAAUGGUUUAGCGUCCAGAAGACGACAUAGGAGCGGCAGCCUAAGAGAUUCUCCAGGUUCAAAAUUUUUAUCAGAUCUAAACUCUUUGAUUAAGAUGAAACGCUGUCCUCUCAAUUAACUUUUGCUGGGUUAUUGUGUCAUUGCAGAGGAUGAUGGGCCGGUGGAGUUGCAGGAAUCGGCGAGGCUAAGAGAUCGAGUGACUGGGAAAAAGGAUCGAGAUCGAGAUCGGGAUAGAGAGCGAGACCGGGACCGUGACAGAGAGAGGGACAGGGACAGGGACAGAGAU
This 589-nucleotide unclassified non-coding RNA is filed under the name Hevea brasiliensis (rubber tree). The record is from RNAcentral. Lineage: Eukaryota; Viridiplantae; Streptophyta; Magnoliopsida; Malpighiales; Euphorbiaceae.